Molecule: ribosomal RNA, 656 nt
Filed under: uncultured bacterium
Lineage: Bacteria
Description: partial 16S ribosomal RNA
Source: RNAcentral
ACCACACUCUAGUCGUCCAGUAUCCACUGCAGUUCCCAGGUUGAGCCCAGGGCUUUCACAACGGACUUAAACGACCACCUACGCACGCUUUACGCCCAGUAAUUCCGAGUAACGCUUGCACCCUUCGUAUUACCGCGGCUGCUGGCACGAAGUUAGCCGGUGCUUAUUCUUUGGGUACCGUCAUCCCAACCGGGUAUUAACCAGCUGGAUUUCUUUCCCAACAAAAGGGCUUUACAACCCGAAGGCCUUCUUCACCCACGCGGUAUGGCUGGAUCAGGCUUGCGCCCAUUGUCCAAUAUUCCCCACUGCUGCCUCCCGUAGGAGUCUGGACCGUGUCUCAGUUCCAGUGUGGCUGAUCAUCCUCUCAGACCAGCUACGGAUCGUCGCCUUGGUGGGCCUUUACCCCGCCAACUAGCUAAUCCGACAUCGGCUCAUUCAAUCGCGCAAGGUCCGAAGAUCCCCUGCUUUCACCCGUAGGUCGUAUGCGGUAUUAGCGUAAGUUUCCCUACGUUAUCCCCCACGAAAAAGUAGAUUCCGAUGUAUUCCUCACCCGUCCGCCACUCGCCACCCAGAGAGCAAGCUCUCCUGUGCUGCCGUUCGACUUGCAUGUGUUAGGCCUACCGCCAGCGUUCACUCUGAGCCAGGAUCAAACCCUG